AUUCCAGCUCCAAUAGCGUAUAUUUAAGUUGCUGCAGUUAAAAAGCUCGUAGUUGGAUUUCGGGCGGUUGACGACGGUCCGCCUCUGGUGUGCACUGCCGUUCUUCCGCCUUUCUGUCGGGGACGUGCUCCUAGGCUUCAUUGUCUGGGACACGGGUUCGACGUGGUUACUUUGAGUAAAUUAGAGUGUUCAAAGCAGGCAUCGCCUUGAAUAUAUUAGCAUGGAAUAGCACGAUAGGACUCUGGUGCUAUUUUGUUGGUUUCGAACACCGGAGUAAUGAUUAACAGGGACAGUCAGGGGCACUCGUAUUCCGCCGAGAGAGGUGAAAUUCUUAGACCAGCGGAAGACGAACCACUGCGUAAGCAUUUGCCAGGGAUGUUUUCAUUA
This 387-nucleotide ribosomal RNA is filed under the name Chlamydomonas sp. RNAcentral describes it as "partial small subunit ribosomal RNA". It matches the Rfam family "Eukaryotic small subunit ribosomal RNA", at positions 582 to 975 of the family's 1831-position model. The record is from RNAcentral. Lineage: Eukaryota; Viridiplantae; Chlorophyta; Chlorophyceae; Chlamydomonadales; Chlamydomonadaceae.